AGUGAACGCUGGCGGUAGGCCUAACACAUGCAAGUCGAACGGCAGCACAGUAAGAGCUUGCUCUUACGGGUGGCGAGUGGCGGACGGGUGAGGAAUACAUCGGAAUCUACUUUUUCGUGGGGGAUAACGCAGGGAAACUUACGCUAAUACCGCAUACGACCUACGGGUGAAAGCAGGGGAUCUUCGGACCUUGCGCGAUUGAAUGAGCCGAUGUCGGAUUAGCUAGUUGGCGGGGUAAAGGCCCACCAAGGCGACGAUCCGUAGCUGGUCUGAGAGGAUGAUCAGCCAAACUGGAACUGAGACACGGUCCAGACUCCUACGGGAGGCAGCAGUGGGGAAUAUUGGACAAUGGGCGCAAGCCUGAUCCAGCCAUACCGCGUGGGUGAAGAAGGCCUUCGGGUUGUAAAGCCCUUUGUUGGGAAAGAAAAGCAGCAGGUUAAUACCCCGCUGUUCUGACGGGACCCAAAGAAUAAGCACCGGCGAACUUCGG
This 490-nucleotide ribosomal RNA is filed under the name uncultured bacterium. Its description in RNAcentral is "partial 16S ribosomal RNA". It matches the Rfam family "Bacterial small subunit ribosomal RNA", at positions 29 to 506 of the family's 1533-position model. The record is from RNAcentral.